RNAcentral lists this ribosomal RNA (492 nucleotides) under uncultured bacterium. Its description in RNAcentral is "partial 16S ribosomal RNA". It matches the Rfam family "Bacterial small subunit ribosomal RNA", at positions 29 to 507 of the family's 1533-position model. The record is from RNAcentral.
AGUGAACGCUGGCGGUAGGCCUAACACAUGCAAGUCGAACGGCAGCACAGUAAGAGCUUGCUCUUACGGGUGGCGAGUGGCGGACGGGUGAGGAAUACAUCGGAAUCUACUUUUUCGUGGGGGAUAACGUAGGGAAACUUACGCUAAUACCGCAUACGACCUACGGGUGAAAGCAGGGGAUCUUCGGACCUUGCGCGAUUGACUGAGCCGAUGUCGGAUUAGCUAGUUGGCGGGGUAAAGGCCCACCAAGGCGACGAUCCGUACCUGGUCUGAGAGGAUGAUCGGCCACACUGGAACUAGGACACGGUCCAGACUCCUACGGGAGGCAGCAGUGGGGAAUAUUGGACAAAGGGCGCAAGCCUGAUCCAGCCAUACCGCGUGGGUGAAGAAGGCCUUCGGGUUGUAAAGCCCUUUUGUUGGGAAAGAAAAGCAGCAGGUUAAUACCCCGCUGUUCUGACGGUACCCAAAGAAUAAGCACCGGCUAACUUCGUG